GCUCAGAGUAUAAGCCAAUGGAGCUUGGAAGGCUUCCGCAGAUGGGGUCCAUCAUACGUGGUGUUCUUAAGACCUUGAGUAAAGCUCGUCAGGCGUAGCAUUGAGUUUGCCAGGUUUAGCUGUCGUGCGGGGGCUUAGCGAGGGGGGACUUUGCUUCGGCUUAGCUAUCUCCCGAGCGGCCCUUUUGAAUGGACGUUCAGAGGCUCUUGGUCUAAUGCGGUUAUGCCCACCACAGCACGUUGUGAGGUCACCCACAGGCUCAAACUGCCGAUCGCGCAUCCAGGACGAUGGCAACGAUGCGUUGUUGAUGAUGGCUCGAAAGAGACUUGACUCAGACGCGUGUCUAGUCCUGGGUCGGGCGGCGACCGAGAUAAACCUGGUAUGAUCCUCUUGCGACGAGCUGCUUUCUGGCCAGACCGACGUCCGGGCGCUUCCACUGUGCCGGAAGUGUCUAUCCCAGGCGGUCUUGACCCAGCUGCAUUAUGCAAGGUCUCUCAGCCGGGCGUUGGUCUGAGUGGUGUUAAGUCCAGCACCAUCGGUCACGUCUCGAAACACGGGCCAAGGAGUAUAGCAUGUGUGCAAGUCUAAGGGUCUCACAAAACCCGAAGGCGAAGUGAAAGCAAGACUGUGGCGGGGGAGCUACGGCAAACCCGCCGGCCUGGUGGCGCGUGCGUCGCCGGCUUAAACAGAGCUGAUCCUGUUUUCUCGGUUAAUUCUUGGUGCAGGCGCAAGCUCCGGGCUCACGUACAACACUGGUCACGCCUCGUG
This 768-nucleotide ribosomal RNA is filed under the name Niphargus thuringius. RNAcentral's name for it is "partial 28S ribosomal RNA". Lineage: Eukaryota; Metazoa; Arthropoda; Malacostraca; Amphipoda; Niphargidae. The record is from RNAcentral.